AUUUAGGUAGUUUAUAAAAACAUUGAAUUGUGGUUUCAAAAAUACACAUUUGUGUCCUAAAUC
RNAcentral lists this transfer RNA (63 nucleotides) under Pisione sp. YZ-2018. RNAcentral describes it as "tRNA-His". Lineage: Eukaryota; Metazoa; Annelida; Polychaeta; Phyllodocida; Pisionidae. The record is from RNAcentral.